This is a long non-coding RNA of Salvia splendens (bonfire salvia), 918 nucleotides long. RefSeq lists it as uncharacterized. NCBI's taxonomy places the organism in Eukaryota, Viridiplantae, Streptophyta, Magnoliopsida, Lamiales, Lamiaceae. The record is from RefSeq and is a predicted model, not a curated record. The transcript has 4 exons.
CCAUAAAAGCCAAUAAAAGGCCCUCUUCUUCAACCUUCUCCUCCUUUUGGUAGAACUCGAAUUUGUCGGCAAACCCGGUAGAAAAAUCCCGGAUCUUGCUGGUUUUGAGAUUAGAUUCGGCGACUAAGGCAUUCCACUAUCGGAGACAAAAGCAGCUAUCGCGCGCGAACCGCCGUCUAUCGCAACACUGCUGGGGAGCUGGUGUUGGUGGAUGUUGGUAGAAUCGACAGUGAUGAGCAGAAGCAGGUUUUGGAUAAGCUGAUUGCCGCUGUGAAUGAAGAUAUGGAGGGUAUUUUGAGAAGAGUUAGGCAGAGAUUUGAUGUCGUAGGCCUGGAAUUUCCAAAAAUCGAGGUUCGGUUUGAGAAUCUGAAGGUCGAUGCUUUAGUUCAUGUCGGAAGCAAAGCUCUGCCGACUAUACCUAAUUUCAUUUUUGGCAUGACUGAGGCCUUCUUGAGGCAACUCAGAAUUUUCUCUGGUGGAAGAUGAAAAGAAACACCUGCAAAAGAAAAUCAUAUCUAUUGAGUGGACUCAUACGAAAGAGAGGUGAGGAGUCUUGAAAGAGAUACAAUGAUACCCGACGGAGUUGAUAAGAGUUCCACGCCUACAACCAUUGAGAGAACACCAUCACAAAGCCUGCAGUAUAACCAGGUUGAUCAGGUUGAUCGAGUUCCAGAGCUCGUCGCACACGGAGGCCUCCAAUCCGUGUCCAAGACUAAGUAGAGAGUUAGUUAUUUAUAAUUAGUUAUGCUUGUUUAUCUAAUGUAAUAGACUAGGAAGUCGAGCGUAUGUAUAAGCUCUAUCUCGGGUUUUCUUUGUGGUUCUUUCCCGGGAGAUAGGAAGUUGAACCGCCCUAGGGUGUAGAUAUAAAAAGGGAACUUGUCUAACACAUUUAUUAUGAAUGAUAAGAUAUUUCCCAAA